Non-coding RNA from Vicugna pacos (alpaca), 823 nucleotides. The record is from RefSeq and is a predicted model, not a curated record. Lineage: Eukaryota; Metazoa; Chordata; Mammalia; Artiodactyla; Camelidae.
CAGGGGCCAAGGGUAGGGUGAGGGGUGGGGAAAGAAGAGCCAGAGCUGGUGUCUGCAGGGCCAAGUCUCCUAUGCGCGCCACCAACCCCACUCCAAUCCACCCAAGCCCGCUGGCCUUUCCUCCCUCAAAACUCUCAGCCCAGGCCCCGCCCUGCCCCCACCCCAGGGAUCCUGGGGGACCGACACCCGGGCCAGGCUGGGCUUCCAAAGGCCUAAUGCCCCCACUCAACCCAGGCUGCACCUCGGCCACUCUAGGCCCUGCUGCUGUCACCUGUACAUCCUUCCGGAUCUCAGCCUCGCGCUGGGUGGCCACUGCCGGGAGGGGAAAAUGGAUGGCCUUGUGCACAUCCUACCGUGGAAGCUACUGGUCUGACAAUUCCAGGAUGGUCCAGAAAGGCAGAUUUUGAUUCAGUACACAGAACCAUCUUUCAAGAAGUAGAGCCUUCCAAAAUGGCCAACAUCACUAAGUAAAGGAUUCUCCAAACAUUAGAAGCAUUCAAGCAGAAGCUAGACAACCAGCUUGUUGGACUUACCAGAGAUGGCCUAGCAGGGGUAAAUGGAUUGGAUUCAUUACUUCCAAGAUCCUUUCCUUUAUAUAAUAUUAAAUACUCGAAAUGAUAGCACCCUUGUUUCCAUUUUUAAGGAAAGUAACGGAUAACAACGAGCUCGACCAGUAGUCAAAAGACCUACCGUCAAGCUCAGUGACCUCAGGCAUGGCUUCCAGCAAAAUGCUGAGUAGAAACUCUGAUAGUAACAUUCUCGGAUAACGCAUCUAACAUUUUACCCCCAGUAUGACGUUUGCUGUAAGUUUGCAACUCUUCUU